RNAcentral lists this ribosomal RNA (428 nucleotides) under uncultured beta proteobacterium. RNAcentral describes it as "bacterial SSU rRNA". It matches the Rfam family "Bacterial small subunit ribosomal RNA", at positions 958 to 1385 of the family's 1533-position model. Lineage: Bacteria; Pseudomonadati; Pseudomonadota; Betaproteobacteria. The record is from RNAcentral.
AACGCGAAGAACCUUACCUACCCUUGACAUGUACGGAAGCCGGAUGAGAGUUCGGUGUGCCCGAAAGGGAGCCGUAACACAGGUGCUGCAUGGCUGUCGUCAGCUCGUGUCGUGAGAUGUUGGGUUAAGUCCCGCAACGAGCGCAACCCUUGUCAUUAAUUGCCAUCAUUAAGUUGGGCACUUUAAUGAGACUGCCGGUGACAAACCGGAGGAAGGUGGGGAUGACGUCAAGUCCUCAUGGCCCUUAUGGGUAGGGCUUCACACGUAAUACAAUGGCCGGUACAGAGGGCUGCCAACCCGCGAGGGGGAGCUAAUCUCAGAAAGCCGGUCGUAGUCCGGAUUGUUCUCUGCAACUCGAGAGCAUGAAGUCGGAAUCGCUAGUAAUCGCGGAUCAGCAUGUCGCGGUGAAUACGUUCCCGGGCCUUGUA